AGAGGAUACACCUGUUCCCAUUCCGAACACAGAAGUUAAGCUCU
This 44-nucleotide ribosomal RNA is filed under the name Clostridioides difficile. Lineage: Bacteria; Bacillati; Bacillota; Clostridia; Peptostreptococcales; Peptostreptococcaceae. The record is from RNAcentral.